This 402-nucleotide long non-coding RNA is filed under the name Homo sapiens (human). Its description in RNAcentral is "non-protein coding lnc-ZNF131-1:2". Lineage: Eukaryota; Metazoa; Chordata; Mammalia; Primates; Hominidae. The record is from RNAcentral.
GAAACUUGAGGCUAGGCUGACCCCAUGGUUGUUAUGAUUAGAAAUCCGAGGCCACUGGAAACCCGGAGCUGCUGACCAACGAGUCACAGGGUAACUUCGCCUUCGCAUGGGGAAACGGGCUGGUGCAGUGGUGUCAUCUUGGCUCAGUGCAGCCUCGACUUCCUGGGAUCCAGCGAUCCUCCCGCUUCAGCCUCUAGAGUAGCCGAGACCACAGGAUUUGGAAGAGGGCAGGAGAGAAAAAUGAACUGCAAGACUCCAGCACAAGAGGUGGGAUUGCUGGCAGAUGUCUGCUCCCUCUCCAAACCUAAUGAACAUCUCAAAGUGCCAUCCACUUUCCUAUACCCUUGAUCUGUGAAAUGGAUCACUGACGCUUUCUCUGUCUUUCCGGAAAUGCAAAACAGG